AGGCGUCUGCCUUGUUCGAGCAAGUACAGUUUCUUUAAAUCCGAACAUUUAUUGAAACGGGAAUCUUGGCUCCGUAUGCGGGAUGCAGACCUCCCGGCCCCUGCUUUGACUGGGGUUGGAUGAAGGGAGCGCGAUGUAUAUGGGCGGAUACCCACCUGCUGAGAAGCGGGUUUAUAACACUGUACGACGGCAAGGUGGAGUUAAA
RNAcentral lists this non-coding RNA (205 nucleotides) under Candidatus Merdivicinus intestinigallinarum. RNAcentral's name for it is "6S RNA". It matches the Rfam family "6S / SsrS RNA". Rfam says of the family: E. coli 6S RNA was the first non coding RNA to be sequenced, but its function was unknown until recently. It consists of 184 nucleotides that fold into an extended hairpin structure with a large single-stranded internal bulge. Lineage: Bacteria; Bacillati; Bacillota; Clostridia; Eubacteriales; Oscillospiraceae. The record is from RNAcentral.